GUCAUAAUUUUGCAUCUUUUUGUGGUCAUUUUACAGCUUUUUUGGGAAGAUUUUGUGACUGUCAGAUCCCUGCUCAUCUCCAAACUCAUGGACCCAGCUACCCACCUGGACUUCCGCCUGGACUUCCGCCUGGACUUCCACCUGCCCUGCUUUGUCUUCAGAUCCUGACAUGAACCUUUCCACCGGUUCCGUCUCUACAUCCAGCCUCCUGUUUUCCGUCUAGUUUCCAGUCAUCUCCCGGAUUCCCGGUGCCUGUCUGUUGGUUGCCUGGUUUUUGUCAUCAGCUGAUUGAGGACACCUGUGACGGGGAAUGGCUCACCUGUUCUACGUUCCUCCUCCUGCCAUUAAUGAAGGGCUUCUCACACUGGACCGUUGCACCAUGCUGU
This is a long non-coding RNA of Amphiprion ocellaris (clown anemonefish), 386 nucleotides long. RefSeq lists it as uncharacterized. The record is from RefSeq and is a predicted model, not a curated record. NCBI's taxonomy places the organism in Eukaryota, Metazoa, Chordata, Actinopteri, Pomacentridae. The transcript is spliced from 3 exons.